GCCGGGUGCAGUGACGCGCACCUGUAAUCUCAGUGACUAGGGAAGCUGAGGCAGGAGGAUCGAAAGUUCAAAGCCAGCCUCAA
RNAcentral lists this small RNA (83 nucleotides) under Marmota monax (woodchuck). The record is from RNAcentral. Lineage: Eukaryota; Metazoa; Chordata; Mammalia; Rodentia; Sciuridae.